This 531-nucleotide ribosomal RNA is filed under the name uncultured bacterium. Its description in RNAcentral is "bacterial SSU rRNA". It matches the Rfam family "Bacterial small subunit ribosomal RNA", at positions 355 to 902 of the family's 1533-position model. The record is from RNAcentral.
UGGGGAAUCUUGGACAAUGGGGGCAACCCUGAUCCAGCCAUGCCGCGUGAGUGAUGAAGGCCUUAGGGUCGUAAAGCUCUUUCGCCUGUGAAGAUAAUGACGGUAGCAGGUAAAGAAACCCCGGCUAACUCCGUGCCAGCAGCCGCGGUAAUACGGAGGGGGUUAGCGUUGUUCGGAAUUACUGGGCGUAAAGCGCACGUAGGCGGACCAGAAAGUUGGGGGUGAAAUCCCGGGGGCUCAACCCCGGAACUGCCUCCAAAACUAUUGGUCUAGAGUUCGAGAGAGGUGAGUGGAAUUCCAAGUGUAGAGGUGAAAUUCGUAGAUAUUUGGAGGAACACCAGUGGCGAAGGCGGCUCACUGGCUCGAUACUGACGCUGAGGUGCGAAAGUGUGGGGAGCAAACAGGAUCAGAUACCCUGGUAGUCCACACCGUAAAACGAUGAAUGCCAGUCGUCGGGUAGCAUGCUAUUCGGUGACACACCUAACGGAUUAAGCAUUCCGCCUGGGGAGUACGGUCGCAAGAUUAAAACUC